Anas platyrhynchos (mallard) is the source of this 5470-nucleotide non-coding RNA. The record is from RefSeq and is a predicted model, not a curated record. Lineage: Eukaryota; Metazoa; Chordata; Aves; Anseriformes; Anatidae.
GAGCCGUGGAGCGCCCCGUGCGCGGAGCCCGGCUGGGGGCGCUGGGUUUGGGGCAGAGGAGCCCCAGGAGAGCUCCCAGCGCCUGCCCGGGCCUGAGGGGCUGCAGGAGAGAGGGGAGGGAGCCUGCAGGGGGAGCAGAAGGAAAGCCAAAAUGACUUCAGUGACAGCUCAGAUAUCCCACAGAAUGACUAGUAGGAGCAGAACAGCAGGAGCUAGAAUACAGUGAGGACUGUCCCCUCCAGGGAAAACCAUCUCCAGUCAUCAAUAGCAGACGGCCAGCACACCCAUCAUCAAGGCAAACUUCUGUUGGUGAAGACCAGAGAUUUUGGUCUAAGCAAGUUGGCCGCCUGAGAUGAGAAUACACUAAGAUGAGGAAGAUGCUGCUGUAAUCAAGGCAAUACGGAACCAGAUAUGCAGUGACCACAAGCUGGGCUACGGACGUCCUUCCCCGCUAGUGAAUAUUCAGUCUCUUUGGAAAGAAGUGGUUCCUCCUCUGCGGAGGAAAGUCUCACAACACAGGUCUUUGUCUUUCUGAUGGAAUAUGUUCCAAGGAAAGUCUUCCCCAACUCCAGCUGAUUCUGGAGGCUCCCAGAUGCUUCCUUCACUUUGUGCAGUGCAAUGGCCAUGGGAAAUGUGCCCAGGCAGGAAUUUAAAACCAGACACCCAGGAGGGAUGAGAACUUCUCAGCGAUCUGGAAACAACGAACACGCGGGCUGUAACCAGCAGGCAGGAUUUUGUGGACAUGAUGAGCCUGAGAAAUGGAGAGGGUAUUUCUGCUGCAGGUUCAGGACAACCCGUAGCAGAGGCAGGCACCUGGAGGGGAUGGCAGCAGCUUCCCAGAUCUCACCUGGCGAUUGCAGCGCUUGGAAAGCACGGCUCAAAUUAACCCUUCCCUCUUCUGCCCGAGUGCUGAGCCACAGAUGAGGAAACCCCCCAAAAUUAUUUCUGGGUAUUCAUUCCUUGUGUGAAUGCUGAGAUAAGAAGGGGCUCAAGCCCUUUCCUUCAAACCACAGUGGAGAAAACCUGCUGCAGUGCCUGCAAGAAAUUUUCAGAAAACUUUUGUGAGUUUUUACUGAAACCACAAGCCUUUUUUUUUUUUUACCCUUCCACAAUUUUUCUGUCUAACUUUUUAAAGGCACUUUUACUGAAGAUUUACUGAUAGAAACCUUCUACUGAGUGCAUUUGAUCGCUCCAUAUUUCAGAAACAAUGUAAGAAUGGAAAAAUCUCUCUCUUUAGGCUCCAUUAUCUCACACUCCUGUUGUCGGCACUGAGUUAUAAAGAACCGGUGCUACGCUUAAAACGCUGAAUGGCUUAACUGCUCAGAACAUAAAAUGAAAGCACUAAACUUAUCAGUUUUGUGUAAAAAACAUGCACUUUUCCCUUACAAUAAACAAAUAGAUAUAUAACAGCAAGCGAAAUAAAGCAGGCAAAUGCCUCGUCUUCUCUCCUUGGUGUGCAGGGCUGUAGUUGCCUGCUGUAAGAAAAUACAUCGCUGGCAUUGACUUUAAGCUCCAUGAUGGCUGUGAGAGUUGUUGUCUGUUCACAGCCUCAGUGGCAAAUUGGGUCAUUUCCAGGGGUAGUACUGUAAGAGAUUUUGUCUCUGAAAUUGGAGCCCCCUCUCCAAAUGCACAGGUCCAGCAUAGCUGUAGGGAGCACCCCAAGUUUGUGUUGCGGUCGUGAUCAUCCUGCCAGUGAUGAAAAUCUGCUGGGCAAGCUGUGUCUGCUUGUGAUAAAAUUGAUAAGAUAAAUGAUUUUUGUAGACAAAGGAAAUGCAGGAUAUCUCAUCUAUCUGGACCGAAGAAAUCAUUUGAUAUAGUGCCACAUGGGAAAUUAUCAGCUCAACUGAAAGCGUGGAGAAUUUAUACAGGACCUGUAAAGUGGGUACAGCACUGGCUAAAGGGAGGCCACUGACAGCAAACACUGAAAGGGGAAUUAUCGCUCUGAAGUGAGGUUACCAGUAAACAUCCCCCAGGACCAGGAGCGGGACUGAACAUAUUUCAUUUCUGCACUGACCUUGGAAGGGAACGUGGGAGUGUGCCAAUGACAUUUACAGCUCAUGCAAUGUUGGGAGCAUCGUCAGUGCACACCGGGAUGGGGCUAUUAACUGACGACUGACCUUGAAAUCUGAAGUAAUAGAAGUAGGAUAAAAUGCAAUAGUAUAUAACGUAUGGGCAAGUUCUUAUGGAACAGCUGAAAAAAAUUCAGCUAUUUGUUAGAAGUGGCCGAGUGUACUUGAAUGUCACAGGUUAACCAUUAAUGGCCAAUUAUAUGGUCUCAGGAAUAAAAUGGUCAGAUAUAUCCAAGUGGGAUUUCCAGCUAGUGCUGGAAGUCCAGGGAAGCACUAAUUCAUUUUCACAAAGGUUGGUCUCAUCUCAUCAAAGCUGUGUGCGCAGCUCUUCCCAAAAGUGAGAAGCUACGAAUUCAAACUGCAAAUGGUCCAGUGAAGGGAUCUGGGGCAGUCAGGGGAAUACAAGCACUGUUCAUCUGAGAGAGGAAGAAAGCACUUUGUUGAUUUAGGUGAAGACUGGGUGUGCAAAGUACGGGAAGGACAAAUGGUUUAAAUAAGCCAGGAAUUAAUUUAGGCUUGAAAUUAGAGGAAAAUCUCUGUAGCAAGAAGUUGGGACACAGCCCUCAAACAGCAGUGUCAGUGGGGUGUGAGCGGUGCCUGACAAAGUUCUCUUACUGGAGCUGCAAGUGGCCAUCAGGAGCUGGGGGUCAGGCCGAGGAAGACACUGUACUAGUUGGCUUUAGCAUUUUACACCUGGAUCUGAACAGAUCAGUCAUGCAGUGAACGGGGCCAAAAUGAGACCACGAGAUUCACCUGCCUGCAGGCCACGUGGAUUGAAAACCCAAAGGAGCAGCCUGGGCACCGCUGUCAGCUCAGCACUCUUCAAAGGAUUCCGAGGAGACGUACAGAAAACGCGUGCAUUUGCCAAAACCAGGCUCAGGCCAUGAAUGAUUCAUGAACAGAAAACAAGGCUACAUUCAUCGGAUAAUUUAUAUGUAAACCACUCAUUCCUCCAGCUACAGAAAAAAGCCCAGAUCCCUGCAGGUCAGAGCUGUAAAGAGCCGCCAGCGGUGGGAAGGAUGCCCUUGUAUUUAUGCCCUGUGAGGUUUUCCCAUCAGGCUGUCACCAGCCCCUUGCUCCGCAGCACCGGGGAUGCUCGUGCCCUUUAUCACUCACCACGGACCAUCCUGGGUGCACAUCCAUCUGACGUGCAGAUUUCUGGGGUGCUGAGCUUGCUGCAGGUGCUUUGGUUUGAUGCAGUAAUGGCAGCGCUCACCGAAAGCCAAAAUCCUCACAUCCAAUGUCAUCUGGGGGGCUGUGGGCAUACUGCGAUCUGUUGGGAUGGAAAGAGGCUUUGGAGGCAUCUGUCCACAAACCCACUGUAUAUCAGAGAUCAAGGAGAGAGGCAGCUCAAACACAAUCCACGUGUAAAAGCAGACUGUUUUCUGUGCUGGAGGGUUCUGGGGUCUCUGCAGAUAGGCAGUGCUAAUUACUGUGCUCAUUUUAGUGUUGCUAAUGUCCAUUCCUCAUUACGAGCAUGGUCCAGGGUCACCAAAGCUUCUUAUUAAUUCCACAACUCUGCGAUGGAUAAUGAACUGCAGAGAAAGCAGGAAGGAGACCUCAGCUCUGUGUUGGGAGUUUGCCAUUGCCCUGCCUAGGACAAGCCCAGCCUCGUGGAGCUACAUGGUUCCUCCAACGUGAGUCAUCCUGCUCAGCCUCCCCGAGCUCUGUUUGGUAGGAUCCUGGCUCUUUCUGUUUGCUUUCUGUGCAGUGCAAGCAUUUGCCCAGCGGCUGGUCAACAAACAAACAAGAGCAUUCUGUUUAAGAACACGUUUUUAAUAUCCUUCACUAGUAUUGAUCUGACAGUUAAGUCACUGAAUGGUCUUGAAUCUGCUGAAGAACAUAAUAGACAGCAAAAAGAUAUUACGACCUCAAGCAAAUGGCUCGAAACCUGUGAAAUUUACCUGAAUGUGGUCACCAAGCACCACUCACCUCAUACGUACAGGAGAAGCAGCUCCACCAAUGAGCUUUUUUAAACCUCUUACAGCAAACUGGGCCAGAUGGACAACGGCUCUGCCCCAGUAACGCUGCUGUUAUUUAUCUUCUAUUGGGAAUAGGCAGAGUUAACAGACAGUUUAUGUUUAACCAAACAUCUUUUGGUUUCAACUUCUGAGAGCGUGAUUGCUGAGUUCUGAUGAAUUUCCAAGUUUUUAAGAAAUUAAUUUCAUUUAACAUCAUAAGCUUCCUAAGGCACUUGCUUUCAAAGGCCUGUCAUAUCUGCCUGUGUCUGCCACAGAUUUUCAUUUUUUUCACAUCCAUAUGUUAAGAAAGAAAUGAAAAAAAAAAAAAAAAGCAAAAAUGCCUGGUUUGAUUCUAAGUUGCAGGGUUUUGAUAACCAAAUCCCUUUGUAAGCUGGUAGAGGCAAUGGCCACCUUCUAAUUCAUGGCAUUGUUCCCUUUCUGCAAUCUCCAUGGCCCCGUGCCUUGCUGCCAGAAUAUGCAAAGAAGUUUCUUGAUUGUCAUCUCUACCUUGCAAAGCUGUUCUUGACUUUGAAACUGCUGCAGUUCUUGCAAGGCUUGUUUUCAACCUGAAUAAUUCUCAGUAUUUUCCCCACAGUUCUGCAUAGCCUUCUGGUCCUCACUUCAGUGUUGGCUAAGCUGUCACUUACAGGAGUGAUGCUGUCAUUACAAUAUUUGAUUGUUUUUUAGUAUAGCGAUCGUUGAAAGCAUUUCAUAAGGAAACUAGUUGGUUAUUUCUUGCAGUGAAGCUGGUGGCAAUGCCAAGUAGUGGGUGUGGAAGAACUCGCCUUCAGCCUCAGCAUUGCUGUAGCAUCAGGCCCACAAGCUGCCCCUGCCUGCAUCUGGCCCUGAAGAUGACACCUGGCAGAAUUCACACACCUUCACUUGUCCUGCAUUACUCCUCCAGGCACCCCAAAUGCACUUGCAAUGGACACUGUUACCAUUGAACGCUUUUUGCAAUCCAGCAGUUAAAUGAGGAUGCCCCCCUGAGCCCCCAGAGGUUGCUCUGUAUCAGUUACUGAUUUUUGGCUUACUAUCAGUGCUGUUUUGAUUUGUGCUUAUGGUAAAUACGUGGCCUUAUGAGCUGAAACACAAUACUUCUCCCCUAGGGCUUACCAUAACCAACUCUUCCGUUUUGCUGAGUGUACCAGAUAUUUUUUCUUUCCUAUUUGGAGCACGGAGCCUUUUUGCUGUUCCCUUGCAAAGCUUUGCCAGUCCCUCAUUUUGUAGAACAGUCUUUUUUUUUUUUGUCAUUGCUGAACAUUCACCAGUUCAGCAAUGCUGAUGGACUUCAACUUUGAGAAAACUGCUGUUGAGUUUUCUGUGUAAUAUUUCACUGCUAUUUUUAUUAACGCUGAAAGUUUGACUUAUUUCCCAAGGUCAGUACCUUCAUGGACCUUCUACCACAUAGCUUCAAAAAGCUUCUACCUGCUUUUAAAAACU